Molecule: ribosomal RNA, 253 nt
Filed under: uncultured bacterium
Lineage: Bacteria
Description: partial 16S ribosomal RNA
Rfam family: Bacterial small subunit ribosomal RNA
Source: RNAcentral
UACGUAGGGUGCAAGCGUUGUCCGGAAUUAUUGGGCGUAAAGAGCUCGUAGGCGGUCUGUCGCGUCGGCUGUGAAAUCCCGAGGCUCAACCUCGGGUCUGCAGUCGAUACGGGCAAACUAGAGUAUUGCAGGGGAGACUGGAAUUCCUGGUGUAGCGGUGAAAUGCGCAGAUAUCAGGAGGAACACCGGUGGCGAAGGCGGGUUGCUGGGCCGACACUGACGCUGAGGCGCGAAAGCCAGGGGAGCAAACGGG